AAAAUUGAAACCUAAUGGGAGGGGGGUAGCCAGCCUUUUCUUCGUCGCAGUGGAUAGGCUAGUGGUCCACCAAAGCCUAGUUCCCUACAUGGCUGUGCGAGUCGAUUCACGCUGACUCGCCUGUUCUUCGAGACCCUGAUGAUAAUUCAGUUUCCGUGGAGAUUUUGAGGGUUUUCUAAUCUCUCUAUUUGCAGCUAAGUCAUCGACGGUCAUCUUCACCAAGUCCACCG
This 230-nucleotide long non-coding RNA is filed under the name Linum usitatissimum (flax). RNAcentral's name for it is "long non-coding RNA (LUSI_LNC008012)". The record is from RNAcentral. Lineage: Eukaryota; Viridiplantae; Streptophyta; Magnoliopsida; Malpighiales; Linaceae.